This is a non-coding RNA of Pilatotrama ljubarskyi, 99 nucleotides long. Lineage: Eukaryota; Fungi; Basidiomycota; Agaricomycetes; Polyporales; Polyporaceae. The record is from the annotation of a GenBank genome assembly.
CCUUCGAUAGCUCAGUUGGAAGAGCGUGGGACUGUAAGGGUACCCUGGGCUCAAACACGAGUCAUCCCAAGGUCGCUGGUUCGAACCCGGCUCGAAGGA